CAGAGAUGAAGCUCCUGGUAACUCCACCGCAGAGUCUCGUCAUGCUGCUUCCGCCGCUGCUGCUGCUGCUGCUCUGCUUUACCGCAGUCCACUCCAGCGGACCAGUGCAAACCUGCUGCCUCAAAACGACGGACACCAUCCUGCCCCUCAGCAAAAUAGCGGGAUACUACAGUCAGAAGGCCGGGCUUUGUCCAGUCGAUGCCGUAGUAUUCGUCACCGUUAAGAAUGUAAAAAUCUGCUCACCCCCCAAUAAACUUUGGGUGAAAAGGGCAGUGAAGUAUUUUGGCAGCAAGAAGACAAAGGACGGGAAGAAAGUAACGCCUCCCCAAUAGACGACACUGGAAACGCCCAGGAGUUGGACUUUUCAUUUAAUCCCGAGUCACCACUGUGCCCACAGACCUUUAGGGUUAAGCUAUUUAAUUUUUUUAUUUAACUUUUACAAAAGGAACGUAAUUGCUAUAUAGUACGCCAUGCA
RNAcentral lists this long non-coding RNA (475 nucleotides) under Scleropages formosus (Asian bonytongue). Its description in RNAcentral is "lncRNA (ENSSFOG00015028612.1)". The record is from RNAcentral. Lineage: Eukaryota; Metazoa; Chordata; Actinopteri; Osteoglossiformes; Osteoglossidae.